AUUGAACGCUGGCGGCAGGCCUAACACAUGCAAGUCGAGCGAGAAAGCCCUUCGGGGUGAGUAGAGCGGCGGACGGGUGAGUAACGCGUGGGAAUCUACCCAGUAGCGGGGGAUAACAUGGAGAAAUUCAUGCUAAUACCGCAUACGCCCUACGGGGGAAAGCAGGGGAUCUUCGGACCUUGCACUAUUGGAUGAGCCCGCGUGAGAUUAGAUAGUUGGUGGGGUAAUGGCCUACCAAGUCGACGAUCUCUAGCUGGUCUGAGAGGAUGAUCAGCCACACUGGGACUGAGACACGGCCCAGACUCCUACGGGAGGCAGCAGUGGGGAAUAUUGCACAAUGGGCGAAAGCCUGAUGCAGCCAUGCCGCGUGUGUGAAGAAGGCUCUAGGGUUGUAAAGCACUUUCAGUAGUGAGGAAAGGUAAUAGGUUAACACCCUGUUGCUGUGACGUUAACUACAGAAGAAGCACCGGCAAACUCCG
This 479-nucleotide ribosomal RNA is filed under the name uncultured Spongiibacter sp. Its description in RNAcentral is "bacterial SSU rRNA". It matches the Rfam family "Bacterial small subunit ribosomal RNA", at positions 30 to 505 of the family's 1533-position model. Lineage: Bacteria; Pseudomonadati; Pseudomonadota; Gammaproteobacteria; Cellvibrionales; Spongiibacteraceae. The record is from RNAcentral.